AGUGAACGCUGGCGGUAGGCCUAACACAUGCAAGUCGAACGGCAGCACAGGAGAGCUUGCUCUCUGGGUGGCGAGUGGCGGACGGGUGAGGAAUACAUCGGAAUCUACUCUGUCGUGGGGGAUAACGUAGGGAAACUUAUGCUAAUACCGCAUACGACCUACGGGUGAAAGCAGGGGACCUUCGGGCCUUGCGCGAUUGAAUGAGCCGAUGUCGGGUUAGCUAGUUGGCGGGGUAAAGGCCCACCAAGGCGACGAUCCGUAGCUGGGCUGAGAGGAAGACCAGCCAAACUGGAACUGAGACACGGUCCAGACUCCUACGGGAGGCAGCAGUGGGGAAUAUUGGACAAUGGGCGCAAGCCUGAUCCAGCCAUACCGCGUGGGUGAAGAAGGCCUUCGGGUUGUAAAGCCCUUUUGUGGGGAAAGAAAUCCAGCUGGCUAAUACCCGGUUGGGAUGACGGUACCCAAAGAAUAAGCACCGGCUAACUUCGUGCCAGCCGCCGCGGUAA
RNAcentral lists this ribosomal RNA (506 nucleotides) under uncultured bacterium. RNAcentral describes it as "partial 16S ribosomal RNA". It matches the Rfam family "Bacterial small subunit ribosomal RNA", at positions 29 to 523 of the family's 1533-position model. The record is from RNAcentral.